GACGAACGCUGGCGGCGUGCCUAAUACAUGCAAGUAGAACGCACAGUUUAUACCGUAGCUUGCUACACCAUAGACUGUGAGUUGCGAACGGGUGAGUAACGCGUAGGUAACCUGCCUGGUAGCGGGGGAUAACUAUUGGAAACGAUAGCUAAUACCGCAUAAUAUUGAUUAUUGCAUGAUAAUUAAUUGAAAGGUGCAAUUGCACCACUACCAGAUGGACCUGCGUUGUAUUAGCUAGUAGGUGAGGUAACGGCUCACCUAGGCGACGAUACAUAGCCGACCUGAGAGGGUGAUCGGCCACACUGGGACUGAGACACGGCCCAGACUCCUACGGGAGGCAGCAGUAGGGAAUCUUCGGCAAUGGACGAAAGUCUGACCGAGCAACGCCGCGUGAGUGAAGAAGGUUUUCGGAUCGUAAAGCUCUGUUGUAAGAGAAGAACGGGUGUGAGAGUGGAAAGUUCACACUG
This 467-nucleotide ribosomal RNA is filed under the name Streptococcus gordonii. RNAcentral's name for it is "bacterial SSU rRNA". It matches the Rfam family "Bacterial small subunit ribosomal RNA", at positions 28 to 471 of the family's 1533-position model. The record is from RNAcentral. Lineage: Bacteria; Bacillati; Bacillota; Bacilli; Lactobacillales; Streptococcaceae.